GAUGAACGCUGGCGGCGUGCUUAACACAUGCAAGUCGAACGGAAAGGCCCAAGCUUGCUUGGGUACUCGAGUGGCGAACGGGUGAGUAACACGUGGGUGAUCUGCCCUGCACUUCGGGAUAAGCCUGGGAAACUGGGUCUAAUACCGGAUAGGACCACUCCUUGGAUGUUGUGGUGGAAAGUUUUUUCGGUGUGGGAUGAGCUCGCGGCCUAUCAGCUUGUUGGUGGGGUAAUGGCCUAACAAGGCGUCGACGGGUAGCCGGCCUGAGAGGGUGUACGGCCACAAUGGGGCUGAGAUACGACCCAGACGCCGACAGGAGACAGCAGUGGGGAAUAAGGCACAAUGGGCGGAAACCUGGUGCAGCGACGCCGCGUAGGAGAAGACGGCCUUCGGGUUGUAAACUCCUUUCGCUAGGGACGAAGCGUUUUGUGACGGGACCUGGAGAAGAAGCACCGGCUAACUACGUG
Molecule: ribosomal RNA, 467 nt
Filed under: uncultured bacterium
Lineage: Bacteria
Description: partial 16S ribosomal RNA
Rfam family: Bacterial small subunit ribosomal RNA
Source: RNAcentral